Scylla paramamosain (green mud crab) is the source of this 816-nucleotide long non-coding RNA. RefSeq lists it as uncharacterized. NCBI's taxonomy places the organism in Eukaryota, Metazoa, Arthropoda, Malacostraca, Decapoda, Portunidae. The record is from RefSeq and is a predicted model, not a curated record. The transcript has 3 exons.
ACACACACACACACACACACACACACGUCACUUCAUUUACACAGGAUCUUGUCUGGUGGUGGUGGUGGUGGUGGUGGUGGUGGUGACUAGACAUAUUAGGUAAGUGAAGAUGAUGAUGGAAAUAUAAAUAGAAAAUGUAUAGUAACAUGAUUGAUAUAAAUAAGAAAGAAAGACGAAGAGAAAAAAAUUAUAAAAAGAAAUGGACGAGAUGAGGCAUGAUAAAUGAAAGAAAGACGUAAGAGAAUUAAAUUGUAUCAUUAAAAUGAUAUGUUAACCAUCUAUUAUUUAUUUAUACAAUAUAUUUUUGUUAUCUGUGUUAAAGAAAAUGUAAGUUGUGUUUUGUUGGAAUGGGAGAAGUUUGGUACGCUUCUUUGUGGUGUUUUGUUUCACCCACUACCUGUGAACAUGGUCGGCCUGGCGGGUUGUCUAAGCCGGCCCACCAAUGUACUGUGGGUUGUUGUGUUGGGUGGUCCUCUGUGCUACAGACGGAGAAUGUAGGGACGCCCUGGACCUCUCAUGUCGGUUGGUGUGUUGGUUGGUCCUCCGUGCUACAGACAGAGUUGUGAGGACGCCCUGGACUGGAUGAUAGUUGGGGUGACAUGUCAGGUGUGCUACGGGGAUUCGAAGAGCGUCAGUGUGGGCCACUGAAGUGAGUACAUUAUGGGAAUUUAUUGAGUAUUAUGAGUGAUAUACAAGUGAAGUUUAGUUGGAUUUUGUAUACUGAUUGUUGCUUUAUUUUUAUAUUUGGGAUAUGAUUGUAACGGAUGUCAGAAUCUCUACAUGGUGUUAUUUUCUUGGUACCAUUGUGAGGGAUUG